Long non-coding RNA from Myiozetetes cayanensis, 2377 nucleotides. RefSeq lists it as uncharacterized. NCBI's taxonomy places the organism in Eukaryota, Metazoa, Chordata, Aves, Passeriformes, Tyrannidae. The record is from RefSeq and is a predicted model, not a curated record. The transcript has 2 exons.
GGGACGGGGAGGCGCCUCCCUGAUUGCGUUCCAGGUGCACCUGGUGCUGCUCCGACGGGAAGUUUCUGUGCCUGCACAAAACGGGUUCCUGCCCGGCGGUGCGGCGAGAAAACGGGCUUUGUGCGAAUGUUCAGCACUUGUAGCAGGCUCUGCCUUUGGGACCUGGACAGGUUCGAGAAGUGGGGCUGUCAAGAACGUCGUGAGGUUUAACAAGUUCCAGAAUCCAAAGGCCACUGAGACAGAGCAAACUCCUGCACCUUCAUUCAUCCUGUCUGGGAGUGAGGAGAUCAAAAGGUUUUCGAAGUUGUGGCCCAUCAUCUUUAUCCUGCACUAAUGGAGAAAUGAUUAGAGCCUUACCAAAGACUACUUACAAGUGAGCUCUUUGAUUUCACAGGUUUAUUUUUGUAAAGGAAAUCAAAGUGAAUUAGCUGAAAUAAUGGAUGUGCUUGCUCUGUGCCUGUAGUCACCUUUGCUUUUCCACACAAGACAAAGUGGAAUGGAAAAGCGGUGCAGCAAUAAUAUUUAUUUCCAACACUUAAUGUUUCACAGUUUUAUACAACAGGUGCAUUAUUUUUUUGUGCAGCAAAAGGUGUAGAAGCUACUCAGGCAUUAGAUGGUUUAGAGGCUUUUAAGGGUGUUACUGUAACAAUCUGUAAAUCAGGGAAGCUUGAUUGACUUUUUCAUUUAGAUUACUGAUAACCGGGAAUCACUGCCCUGGAACUGUGGUGGCUUUGGGGGUGUGAGCAGGGGAUACAAAGCAGCACGCUGAUGUUAAUUGAAGAUUGCAGAUAACUGGAAUUAGUUAAUAAAUGAGCUGUUGCUACAUUUUAUCCUUUCUGGGCCUCAAGGUUCAAAUCUGGAAGUCAAACUGUGGUAUUUGUGUCCGUUUUGAGGGAGGCUAAGGGAGCAUAUUUUCCAUUCAUGAAGAAAAUGCUGUUGCCAACCUUUCCCCAGGUGUUAACCAAGGGAGAAAUUAAUUCUCAGACAGAUUGGCACUCCUUAGUCUCAGUUUACAUUUAUACCUGUACUGAGACCUACCUCAGGCGGGAAACUCCAGAUUCAAUCAAAUGAAAGCUAAAGAAUUAUUUACAUAUGUUACAUAUUAAGUCCAUACAAUCCAUACAACAGCAAAAUUUGUUUUGAUGUCAGUGGAAAAAAGAGGUUUGUCCUGUCGUCUGAUGAUGAUGUGUAACAAAUAUAACACAACUGGUCCCAAGACCACCAUAAAGCCUCGCUGAUACUGAUGAGGGUCCAUAUUCAUUUUAUUGCUUCCCACAUUUUCAUUUUAAUGACAACCUGUUACAAAUAGAGCUAAUGCCACUAAAAUUUUGAUGGCCAGUAAAAAAUACUCCUAAUUCACCAAGCAUAAAUAUCCCAAUGCUGGGGGUUUUUUACAGCUAGGAAAAAAAUGGUAAUGCGAUAGGACUGUAAUAGUGAGAAAAUAAAAGAGUUUUAUUUUUCUCCUGCAAACAUAAUAUAAACUAUCCUGAAAAACAUUUUUCAAUAAACAGUAAAAUGUUCAAGCUGACAUAUUUUACAUGCUUAGGCAGAAUAUAUUUCUUCACACUGUGCAUGUAUGGUUUCCAUUUAUUAAGAGGAAACUGAAAAAUGCUUCUUUCCAUAAAAUCUGAAAGUUUUAUCACAUCCUUAUGUCAACUCCUGGGAUUCUCACCUUAUUUUUUUCAGUGCAUCCCGCUGCAUUGGAGGCGCUUCUCUUGGAGCACAGACACAUUCCUUUUCACAACAUUAAUUCCAGGAAAUCCAAGUGCAGUAUUUGGCCAUGGCUGAGAUUUGAAAUUCUUGUCACAGUAUCUUUUCAAAAGGAUGAAUGGAAACAGAACUGUUACCCUGCCUGAGACAGAUUUGCAAUAAAUAAAAGAUACUCUAUAAAUGUACAGAUAUGAUCAAGAUUAGUUUUAUAGUUAUUGCAUAUGAUUACACAAGGGGAAUGUUUGUUCCAUCUCAGUUAAAUAGCGCAGGGUUUUGUAAUAAUAAUAUUUUUCAUCAUCAGGCCUUGUAAGUAAAUACAACAUUUUCAGUCAAAACAUAUAAGUAGUUGUUGUGCACGCACAAUGCAAAUUCUUCUUGGAAAUAUUCCUCCCAGGAGAUGUGGAGAACUUAUAAAAAAUUUAAUAAAUAACUGCUUGGCUUUUCUAUUUCUAUUAAAUAUAUUGUGUUGAAGAUGUUAUUGCUUCCAAGCAGCUGCUCAUCAUCUAGUUUUGCUGUACAAUUUCCAUUUGGGGUGAAUGGCCUCUGUGCUCUCUAGAUCAUUUCUCUGAUGAAAACUGUCUGUGUUCCAGGUCUGGGUAUUCACAAAGCAAGAGGGUUUUGUACCUGAUGGAGAGAUGCUGUUAAUAAAUAUUCUGUUUUUACAAUA